UGUUCCAUCCAACAGAUAACUAUGACCA
RNAcentral lists this non-coding RNA (28 nucleotides) under Mus musculus (house mouse). Lineage: Eukaryota; Metazoa; Chordata; Mammalia; Rodentia; Muridae. The record is from RNAcentral.